AUGAGGGCCCCCACUCAGCUCCUGGGGCUCCUGGUGCUCUGGCUGCCAGGUGCCAGAUGUGACAUCCAGAUGACCCAGUCUCCAUCCUCCCUGUCUGCAUCUGUAGGAGACAGAGUCACCAUCACUUGCCGGGCGAGUCAGGGCAUUAGCAAUAAUUUAAAUUGGUAUCAGCAGAAACCAGGGAAAACUCCUAAGCUCCUGAUCUAUGCUGCAUCCAGUCUGCAAAGUGGGAUUCCCUCUCGGUUCAGUGACAGUGGAUCUGGGGCAGACUACACUCUCACCAUCCGCAGCCUGCAGCCUGAAGAUUUUGCAACUUAUUACUGUCAACAGAGUGACAGUACCCCUCCCACAGCGUUACAAGUCAUAACAUAAUCCCCAAGGAAGCAGAUGUGUGAGGCUGGGCUGCCCCAAUGCUCCUUCCGGUGCCUCUAUCUGCUGAGGGAAGUUCUCAAACUCAGUCAGGUUUGGAAAGUCAUUGGGAGAUUUUCCUAGAGGAGGCCAGGGAGGUUCCUCUGAACCCUAAGCCUCUUUCACCCUCAUCCCCAGCAGAAAAGAUGUGACAAUGCCUGUCCUGACUGAAUAAAGAAGAGAGAUAAGUCCAA
This is a non-coding RNA of Homo sapiens (human), 602 nucleotides long. The record is from the annotation of a RefSeq genome assembly. NCBI's taxonomy places the organism in Eukaryota, Metazoa, Chordata, Mammalia, Primates, Hominidae.